Molecule: long non-coding RNA, 238 nt
Filed under: Nicotiana benthamiana
Lineage: Eukaryota; Viridiplantae; Streptophyta; Magnoliopsida; Solanales; Solanaceae
Description: long non-coding RNA (NBEN_LNC015111)
Source: RNAcentral
CCCGUCACUUUUUCCCCCGGCUCCUUUUAGACAGUUUUUUCCCCCCACAAUUCCGACCAACUUGGUACUCCCAGAAUAUUCCCCUGGUCACUUUCAUUCUCUACUGUUCACUUAGCCACCUCAUCUCCUUCUUCUCACAGCUUAUUCAUAGCAGAUCUUGUUGCUGUUUAGAGGUCUGGAAUUCUUGCUUUUCGCCGGAAAUUUUUCCGGCAACUCCUGCUCUUUUCUUUCUAUUCUC